GUUGUCGUCAGCUCGUGUCGUGAGAUGUUGGGUUAAGUCCCGCAACGAGCGCAACCCUUAAGCUUAGUUGCCAUCAUUAAGUUGGGCACUCUAAGUUGACUGCCGGUGACAAACCGGAGGAAGGUGGGGAUGACGUCAAAUCAUCAUGCCCCUUAUGAUUUGGGCUACACACGUGCUACAAUGGACAAUACAAAGGGCAGCGAAACCGCGAGGUCAAGCAAAUCCCAUAAAGUUGUUCUCAGUUCGGAUUGUAGUCUGCAACUCGACUACAUGAAGCUGGAAUCGCUAGUAAUCGUAGAUCAGCAUGCUACGGUGAAUACGUUCCCGGGUCUUGUACACACCGCCCGUCACACCACGAGAGUUUGUAACACCCGAAGCCGGUGGAGUAACCUUUUAGGAGCUAGCCGUCGAAGGUGGGACAAAUGAUUGGGGUGAAGUCGUAACAAGGUAGCCGUAUCGGAAGGUGCGGCUGGAUCACCUCCUUUCUA
This 488-nucleotide ribosomal RNA is filed under the name Staphylococcus aureus. RNAcentral's name for it is "bacterial SSU rRNA". It matches the Rfam family "Bacterial small subunit ribosomal RNA", at positions 1048 to 1533 of the family's 1533-position model. Lineage: Bacteria; Bacillati; Bacillota; Bacilli; Caryophanales; Staphylococcaceae. The record is from RNAcentral.